This 468-nucleotide ribosomal RNA is filed under the name uncultured bacterium. RNAcentral describes it as "partial 16S ribosomal RNA". It matches the Rfam family "Bacterial small subunit ribosomal RNA", at positions 28 to 507 of the family's 1533-position model. The record is from RNAcentral.
GACGAACGCUGGCGGCGUGCUUAACACAUGCAAGUCGAACGGAAAGGCCCUGCUUUUGUGGGGUGCUCGAGUGGCGAACGGGUGAGUAACACGUGAGUAACCUGCCCUUGACUUUGGGAUAACUUCAGGAAACUGGGGCUAAUACCGGAUAGGAGCUCCUGCUGCAUGGCGGGGGUUGGAAAGUUUCGGCGGUUGGGGAUGGACUCGCGGCUUAUCAGCUUGUUGGUGGGGUAGUGGCUUACCAAGGCUUUGACGGGUAGCCGGCCUGAGAGGGUGACCGGCCACAUUGGGACUGAGGAAGGGCCCGGACUCCAACGGGAGGCAGCAGUGGGAGAUAGUGCGAGAUGGGCGGAAGCCGGAAGCAGCAACGCCGCGUGCGGGAUGACGGCCUUCGGGUUGUAAACCGCUUUCGCCUGUGACGAAGCGUGAGUGACGGUAAUGGGUAAAAAAGCACCGGCUAACUACGUG